This is a long non-coding RNA of Asparagus officinalis (garden asparagus), 524 nucleotides long. RefSeq lists it as uncharacterized. NCBI's taxonomy places the organism in Eukaryota, Viridiplantae, Streptophyta, Magnoliopsida, Asparagales, Asparagaceae. The transcript has 3 exons. The record is from RefSeq and is a predicted model, not a curated record.
CUUGAGGAGGCCUAUUCAAAUGCUCUGCUGAUUGAUCCAUCUAUUCGCAGAUCAAAAUCAUUCAAGGCUAAGGUCACGAAACUUCAAGAGAAGCUGGUGGUUUCUGAUGCAUCAUCCUGACUGCAAUUGUCAAUCGUGAUAUUGUGCUGAGAGUGCUUGUGCUUUGGUCUCACCUUUUUCGGUUCUCACUGUCAUUUGAUAUAGCUUGCUGCUUUGUCGAAUGAUUCGGUUUGAUGUUAUUUGGGCUUCCCUGUUCUCUGAGCUUAUUGCCAGAAGUAGAAGGAAUUGUUUUUGUAUGUUGACAAAUGAUUCCUGUGAAGUUUCAUGAGGACAAAUGAUUCCUGUGAAGUUUUUUACUUUUGGUGUUUGCAUUGGUGAGCUGAUAUAUUGUACUGAAUGUGGUUGUGCUUUGGUCUCACCUUUUUUGUUUCUCAUUGUCACUUGUGGUGUUUGCUUCUAUGGUGAAUGAUUGUGACUUAUAGUAUACUUUAAUAUAUUGGCAUCUGAUGGUUUGUGGUUUGGUA